Glossina fuscipes is the source of this 803-nucleotide long non-coding RNA. RefSeq lists it as uncharacterized. The record is from RefSeq and is a predicted model, not a curated record. The transcript is spliced from 3 exons. NCBI's taxonomy places the organism in Eukaryota, Metazoa, Arthropoda, Insecta, Diptera, Glossinidae.
CUUUCAUUACAGUCCGACCCAACUACCAUGAACUAUUUUCUAUGCAAUAUGAAAUCUUUCUCAUUUGAUAAUUGUAGCUAAUAAUUAACUGCUAAUAGUGCAUAUAGAUGCUAAGAUAGGUACGUAGUACAUAGAUACGUUUAAACCAUUGACCGGUAUUAAAAAAUCACCUCCUCGCAAACCAGCCUGGGCACAGAAUCUAGCGAUUCGGAGAUAAGUAGCGACAUUGGGGAUGAACCGUACAAUUACAUGGUACAUGUGACCUGGUCCGUCGAAAGAAUCCCAAAAAGAAACCACGUGUGGAUGAGCGAAUCUUGCAAUUUUUCUAUUAAAACUGGCAAUUUUAUGGGAGGUAGUGACCGUUUUGAAUUGCUCCCGAAGGAUGGCGUACAAUGCGCAAACCCAAAAAACAAUCCUUAAGGAGGGCUUUUUAAUUGAUAGAGCGACUAUAGAUAACCCAUUUAAAACUUCAACGGCAACUCAAAGGUUUGGUUCGACAAAUUUUGCCAUUGACAUCUCCUUCAAACUGCAAACCGAUAAGAAGAUGACUUAAAGAACACCGCAAUUCCUCUAGGAACUGCUGAUGAAAAAAAAGGGAAUACCAAGCCGCAAAAUAUUGAGAAUGUUGAGCUGCCACGCCCAUAGCAGCCCCGUUGGGUCCGCGGAAUACAAUUGGGACAUUGAUCUGCCCCCCCGACAUGUAGAAUGUUUUAGCCGCUGAAUUUAUAACCUUGCAUCAAAUUGUUUAAAGAUAUAAAAAUUCACGAAGGAACAUAUUGUGGAAAAGUAUGGCGGUGAAGAAC